AUGGCGGAGGCCGCAAGUGCAGCUGGAGCGACGCCACUACUCCCUGGCCUCCCCGAUGAGAUCUCCAUCUGGGAGAUUCUCGUCCGCCUGCCCCCCAAACUCCUCCUCCGCUGCCGCGCCGUCUGCCCCGCCUGGCGCCGCGCCACCUCCGCCCGCGACUUCCUCCUCGCCCACCACGCCCGCCAGCCCGCCCUCCCCCUCCUCUACUGUCGCAGUGGCAAUGGCUCGUCCAUAGACAUCAUCCCCUGCGACCAUCAGGCAGCCGACGAGCUCCGGUCAGUUGCCCGACUUGAUGGCGCCCCCGGCAUCUUUCUGCAGGCCUGCUGUGACGGCCUCCUCAUCUUGGGCACAUGGAAUAAGACGGAUGAAGGCUACGCUAUGAUGGCCUCCAUCUGCAACCCGGUCACUCGGCAAUAUGCUCCCGUACACCAGCUUGAUGGCUUUACCUUCUUGGGGAUGUACCCACACUGCCCUACCGACGAGUACCGACUAUUGCUCUACCUGGCCCCGAGGUUCAAGGAUGAUGCUCAAAGUGGCUCCUACAUCUUCACGUUAGGCUCCGACCAGCCGCCGAGACACAUAGGGUGCCGUGAUGCCAAGGAAUUGCUGCAUUCCCCCAGAUCUGUCCAUUUUCAUGGUAGCCUGCAUUGGCAUACAGAGCGGCUAAUAAUGGUAUUUGACACCACCUCAGAGUCGUUCCGGCAGAUGCGCUCCCCAAUUGUUCCUGACCAUGUCAUUGGCGACCUGUUUGAGAUGAGUGACAUGCUUGGCAUGUUCAGUCUUAAUGCUGAAGAGACAAUUGUUGAUAUCUGGGUGAUGCUGGACUAUGAGAGCCAAGUCUGGGCCUCCAAAGGCCGGGUUGAGUUGCCGAUUUCAGGGAUUAGGUUGCAAUUAGAAAAGUUUGACACUUGGUUGGAUCUGGUGGCCGCAUCUUGGAACGGUGAUGACGUGCUCAUGAUGGUCAAAUUUGAAGACGACUCCCUACUUCAGAUUGACAUUGAUGGCAAGUUGGUUGCUAGUCUCCAUCGCCGACUCCUCUAUCCUACUCGACUUCGGCUCAAACAGUCUCUAGUUUCACAUACCUUCUUUCCGACUCUAGAGGGUUAUGUUGUCAAUGCUUUGCCUUUCAUCUGA
This 1134-nucleotide ribosomal RNA is filed under the name Triticum aestivum (bread wheat). RNAcentral's name for it is "partial small subunit ribosomal RNA". The record is from RNAcentral. Lineage: Eukaryota; Viridiplantae; Streptophyta; Magnoliopsida; Poales; Poaceae.